GACAUGCAGAGAACUUUCCAGAGAUGGAUUGGUGGCCUUCGGGAACGUCUGACACAGGUGCUGCAUGGCUGUCGUCAGCUACGUGUCGUGAGAUGUUGGGUUAAGUCCCGUAACGAGCGCAACCCUUGUCCUUAGUUACCAGCACGUUAUGGUGGGCACUCUAAGGAGACUGCCGGUGACAAACCGGAGGAAGGUGGGGAUGACGUCAAGUCAUCAUGGCCCUUACGGUCUGGGCUACACACGUGCUACAAUGGUCGGUACAAAGGGUUGCCAAGCCGCGAGGUGGAGCUAAUCCCAUAAAACCGAUCGUAGUCCGGAUCGCAGUCUGCAACUCGACUGCGUGAAGUCGGAAUCGCUAGUAAUCGUGAAUCAGAAUGUCACGGUGAAUACGUUCCCGGGCCUU
Molecule: ribosomal RNA, 403 nt
Filed under: uncultured Pseudomonas sp.
Lineage: Bacteria; Pseudomonadati; Pseudomonadota; Gammaproteobacteria; Pseudomonadales; Pseudomonadaceae
Description: bacterial SSU rRNA
Rfam family: Bacterial small subunit ribosomal RNA
Source: RNAcentral